CACCGAUCAAGCACAAUAGCGCCCGCCGGGCGGAGUCAUCUAUUCUCCCAUCAAAAUCAGAAUCUAUUGCAUGUAUUUUCAGGAACAAUUAAAUAUUCUUACUGGCGCACUAGGACACUAAGUAUUUUACCAUAGAGGAGAAAUUAGGGGCAACUACAUGCAACAAGGGAGCAACACUAGGAGAAGAGCCGGA
Long non-coding RNA from Lolium rigidum, 193 nucleotides. RefSeq lists it as uncharacterized. The record is from RefSeq and is a predicted model, not a curated record. Lineage: Eukaryota; Viridiplantae; Streptophyta; Magnoliopsida; Poales; Poaceae. The transcript is spliced from 3 exons.